RNAcentral lists this non-coding RNA (55 nucleotides) under Plasmodium falciparum 3D7. Lineage: Eukaryota; Apicomplexa; Aconoidasida; Haemosporida; Plasmodiidae. The record is from RNAcentral.
CAUCAGUCACUUUUUUUUCAUCAUCUUUAAUAUCAGCAUUACUAUUAGUUUCAUU